GGUGAUCCCUGGUGCAUUCACUUGUUCAUGGGGCCGCGUUGCUAGAAGCUCCCUCCCCCUUGAUGGCUGCUGGCGCCCGCGGACUCCAUGAGGGUAGUUGUAACCACCUCCUAGCAUUCCCUGCUCGCUACCCGGGCCCCCAAACUCUGCGCCUCGUUGCUAGAUAAAGGAGGGCCGCCACCCCGCUCCUUCCUCCGUUCGCGACGACUUCAGUGAGCUCGCUGCAAUCCACCACUAGCCGAUUAAAGGUUUGGUAAGAGAGAGAAGGUGAGCACGGGAAGAUAAGAACGAGGUUGGGAUCUUCAACGUGGAGACGGGGGCGGGCCACGGUGCGUUCCCGUGCAGCGCUGGUGUCGGCCAUGACGUCAAUAAGACAGAGGGCCGGUGCCUCACUGUCGGCAAGCAAGGAUCACCGUCGCACCGACACCUUUCGUGGGCAGCUCUGCUUGCGCUCCUAACACCAGAGAAGAACAGGUAGUCCAGGAGGAGGUGUACAAUGAAGUACGAGCUUAUCUAGGUGGCGUCUCCGAGUCAACUUUAUGGUGCCAAGGAAUAAUAUUUGGUUCGCUUUAUUGUUAUCAUCUAUUUUUGUAAGACUUCCGCUAUGUAAUAAUGAUAUUUGUGACAUUUAUCUCUAUACACUUUGUCAUUAUAUGUGA
Long non-coding RNA from Zea mays, 659 nucleotides. RefSeq lists it as uncharacterized. NCBI's taxonomy places the organism in Eukaryota, Viridiplantae, Streptophyta, Magnoliopsida, Poales, Poaceae. The transcript is spliced from 2 exons. The record is from RefSeq and is a predicted model, not a curated record.